Molecule: non-coding RNA, 2396 nt
Organism: Arachis ipaensis
Lineage: Eukaryota; Viridiplantae; Streptophyta; Magnoliopsida; Fabales; Fabaceae
Source: RefSeq, a predicted model, not a curated record
CAGGGCUUUAAGAUUCUGAAACCCUAGAAUCUCAAUGUCAGUGCCACCGCUACCGCCACUGCCAUUCUUCUCCUUGCCGUUGUUAUCGUCAUUGUCUCCUUCGUCAACGCAUCACCGGUAGAGUUAUGAAUGGAGGACGAGGUGAUCGUGGAGCCUCUCAAUUCGUGAAGCUUUCCUUAGAUCUUCUGCUUCUGCGUCGCCUUCCACGAUGGGUUCUUCCGCUAGUUUUUCCUUUGCUCCGGUGGCUUGAAGCACUCAGAGAGCGGUUUUGAUGCGGACCCGGUGGGACUGGCUGAGGAGAUCUGGAAGGCGAGCGAGCGGGAGUCUCUAGAAGCUUCGAUUGAAGCUGCGUUCGAAGCUAUCAGAUCUCGUAGAACUGAGUCUUAUGUCGUUCCAAGUCAUUGCGAUUUCUAUUUCUGCACCUCUUUUGUGAUUUUGUGAACCAAAUUGUGGAAAAUGCAAGAAUUACAAUCCUUAACUCAAGCUUCUCACAACUUCCAAAGUGAACGAGCUUGUAACCAAAUCCUACUAGCUUGUCAUUAUUCUUCCAGGGGACCUACACAUGCCAAUUGUAUAUAAAGUUGAUCGUCUUCGAGAUGGAAAGAGCUUUGCUACGUGGAGAGUUGAUGCAAUUCAAAAGAAAAAUAUUGUGUUCACUUUGUUGGCUUCAUUUCAAGUAAUUUUUGUUCUUAAAGAUAGUAUUGAAUGGACUUCUCAUGCAACAACAACUGAGACAUGUUCAUUUAACAAAUUCUCUUUUAUAAAUUUAGAGUAUGCUUCAGUUAUUUUCUUAAUAUACAGAAAGAAGAAUUAGGAUUUGACCACCAGGAGGUAGCCAUGCCAUCUGUGCCUCCACUAGACAAGCUUUUGUCAAUGGAGGAGCUGUGGGAGAGACGUCUUACUGACCCUCGUCUUCUAAAGUAAGAUUUUGGAGGAGCCGCGGGAGAGACGCUAAGAAAGUUUCACGCCAAGACUUCGUUUUUCCGCUUCCCAUGACUUCUGUGCAUCUCAUGUAUCUGCAAACACAUUUUCACUCUCAUUUUCUGGUACUUUUUUUUAAAUCUACCUUUUGCUAUGAUUGAUGUCAUAACCUGUAUUGUUCAAUUUUCAUAGAAGUGGUAUCUUCCUUACUAGCAAUCGUUGUGAAGGUUGUACUCUUAUGCAUUCUUGUUGAUUUCCUAUUGCUAAUUUGUAAUUAUGCAAAUCAAAUUUGGAAUUUUUAUGCAUUUUUCUGGUCUGUUUCAUUGCACCAGUUCUAGUCUCUACUCUUAUGGUGGCCAGAGAAGAGCUUGCCACCAUCAACAGUAGUGCAAUUUCCAGAAGCUUCUUCAUUCUGAAUUUUUGAUACACUAUGUGCAAUGGUAAUAACGGGAUUAAUUAUCUUUGAUGAUUUAGAUCAAGAAAAGGCAGUGAAGUCAUAAGUAUUUGAUAGAUUUUUUUGGGAAUUUAAAAUUUCAAAUAAGGGAUCGGAACAAAAGAAUAUAAAGCAGAUAUACAAGAUAUAGUUAGAACAACUAAUAUUAAUUGUGAUGGUUAUUUUGGUUAUCAAUUUUGUUCUUUAUUGUUCUUGACUGUCUAUUAGAACUAUUGUAUUGCAAAUUAAUAGCCAUUGGGCUUUAAUUCUAGACUUAUAUAUUAUUAGUGAUUAUUAUACUUUAAUUCUAGACUUUGGCAUCUAUUAGUACUUAUAUGUGAUUUGUGUUUUAAUCUAUGGUUUAACUUUUGGAUUGACUAAAUUUAUAAUUAAAAUUUUGAUGAGAAAUAAUGUUAAUCUAUUAGUACUUAUAUGUGAUUUGUGUUUUAAUCUAUUAGUACAAUAAUGUUAAUUCUUAUAUAUUGCCUUGUUCAUACUAUGUCAAUUUUGAUUUGAUUCUUUUUGCAAUAAAAUACAGGAUAUGAGGCAGCAAGCCAAUAAAACUAGAGAAGUUACUACACCAAUUAUAGUAAGGUAGCUAGAAGAUAUUUUUAAGUUGAAUGAGACAUUUGCCAAAAUAAAACUAUCUCAUGUUGCUACUGAGGAGCAUGUGAAAGAAGCAAUAAGGCCUUUCACCCUGUCUACAAUGGAUGCUGCUCGGUCUGAAAAAGUUUUAUCUGAUCCUGGCACCGAUGUCUUAUCAAACCAGAAAUCACUUGCUAUUGCCUCACCAAGUGAGCAACAAAAGUACAGGAAACCAUUUUCUGCAGAAGAUUAUGCUAGAGUAUCCACGUCACCAGAAGCAGGAGCAAAUGAGUCUUUAGCAUCAAAAACUAAGUAGGCGAUUUAUUAUUCACCUUUCUAGGAGGAAUUCCCCGACAAUAACGAAGAUUCAGAGCAACCAUCAUGAGGUUGUUGCAGAUUUAGUGCAGACAAGAUUUGUUGCUAGGAGAUCAUCGGUGCUAGUAAUGGACAUUAAUAU